Molecule: long non-coding RNA, 3784 nt
Organism: Myotis myotis
Lineage: Eukaryota; Metazoa; Chordata; Mammalia; Chiroptera; Vespertilionidae
Exons: 3
Source: RefSeq, a predicted model, not a curated record
ACUGGGGCUCGAGCCCACAACCAGGGCCUGUGUCCGGACCCCAGAAUCCAACCAUGACCUCCUGGUUCAUAGGUCCACACUCAAGUGCUGAGCCGCUCCGACUGGAAUAUGUUUGCCCUGUUUAAAUGGAUUUAUUGGUCCCGAAUCUGCUGUAGCCUCUGGAAGCCGGGAAAAUCUAAUUCUAGUUAGGCUUUUGGCCCUAGUACCAUUCGAAGCAUUAAAAUUUUACUCAUGCUGGGUCAUAUAUGAAGUCAUCGUGCCUCGAGGAAUGUAGGGUCACAUUGUAUUCCAUAGUUUUAUUUUCUCAGCACUUUUGGGAAGAUUGUUGUAAAGACUAUAAUUUCCUCAUAUUUUGUAACCUUGUAGCAAUGAUAAUAGUGAUGCAACUUUCAUGUUUUUAUUAGAUUUAACUCUUGUUCAUUUACAUGUCCACAUAUACAAAUAUAAAUAUAUAAAUAUAAAAAGAGCACACAGAUAUGUACAAUAUGACCUCCUUAUUUUGGGGGGGGGGGAGAGUAUCUAUGCGAUUAAAUAAAAAAUAGAAAAGAGGCAAAUUUGGGGGGGGAGUUAAUAAAAAAUACCUAUCUGGAUGUUUGAGCAAAUAUAUUUGGUUCAUCCACAUAAUUAUUUCAGUUUUUAUAUAUAGAAACAACUAGUGUCCUAACAUUUUUUCUGAAUUAAUUUCAUCCAAGGUGUGUCCACACAAUUCCAGUAUGAUGAGUAGAAAGUAAAAUACUGUUUCUGUUUUAUCUACACAAUGCCAAACACUCAGGCCUGCCAUUGGACGGAAGCCACAGCACUGACUAGUUGCUCUGGCAUCGUGGGAUUGUCUAGGCGAGGCCCGCGCGGACAUAGUGGCUCUCAUUGUAAAAAGUGCCGAAUCAAUGAUUCUCUCUCAUCAUUGAUGUUUCUCUCUCUCUCUCUCCCCCCUCCUCCUCCUCCUCCUCUCCUUUGCUCUCUGAAAUUAAUAAAGAUAUAAAAAAGAAGAGCAAAAAGAAGAAUAAAAAAGUAUGAAGACAGUGUAAGUAAGGCAAGCAUGUAAAAAAAAAUGCCCCCACGCUGAGCGAGCGCCAGGAUCAGAGCAGGCCCACCGCUGGGUUACUCCUCACCCGGAGGGCGGCUCUGCGGGUCAGGGCCGAGUCUCCAGCAAACACACUGUGGAAAACGCAGUGCGGUGCGGCUCUUGCCCUUGCGAAUAAGCAGCCUGCUGUUUGUUCAGUGAGACAGGCUCAUCCUGUUUUCCAGCUGCCCCUUGGAUAGUAUUGAUCUGUUUGGGAGAAUGUCUGCUGUGAAUUGGCACAGGUCAGUCAUCAGGACUCUUGUUGGCGCGGGGGUAUUUCGGGGCCAAUCUGAGGAACUGAGACGCAGGUCAGCGUUGGCCCCAUGUGGGCCUCCGUGGGCAUCAGCAAGAGACCCACCCCGUUUCCGUGGCUGAGGCGGCAUGGCACCUGCUCAGCGACGUCACAGAAAACAGCUGCAGUCUCUGGGGCUGUUUCAUCUCCUGUCGAUGCUCAAUAUUGGGUUGGUCGAUGUCUAAAUGUCAAGGGCACAUUUUAACAUAAAAAUGCCUUCUUUCAUUUCUGUUGUAUGCCUCCGAGCUUGACUUCUUCUUUUCCUUUCUGCUCUGCCAAAAAAGUAAAUGUAAAUGAUGGGAACACAAUAAGACCACUUUGUAACUGAUUUUCUGGGCAGCACACAAAAAGCUGCUGUUCUAGGGUUGGUGCUUGUGUGUGUGUGUCAGCUUCAAAAGCGAUCUUCCUUCUGAAGUUUAUAAAUUUAAAAUAUUAGAGUUUAGCCAACGAUGGGAUCUAGCUCCCAAGAAAGACGUGUGAGAUCGUACAAAGUGGUUGCUUGAGACCAGAACUGACCCGGUUAAAUUUCAGUCCUGAAAAAGUUACACACGGAAAAUUGGAAAGCCAUGAACUGAGUAGCUUAUAUUUUUUUGCCUUAAAAAUUGAAUGUCAAACUUUUUUGAAGUCAGGUGUUUUGCAAGGUGAAUAUUAAACUUUCAAAUGCAAAUACUCAAUCUUGAUUAAACAGCAGGAUUUAAGCACUUGAGAAGUAGGCUGGCAUUUUUAAAAAUCAGAUUUUGUCCUUCUAGGUACAAAAACAGCGACUGAAUGCGUCACGGCCAUUGGCAUUGUGCAACUGCACAGGCGAGACUGAGGAUGUGAGGAGGGGUGGCGGGAGCGUCUGUCCUGGCUGAAUUGUUGCAGAACAAAAACGUUAAGAAAUACUCUGUGAUGGGGAUAGAGAAGCAAACAAGACAAAUCCUGCUGCAGCUUUCUUGGACGUUUUGGGAUCACAGAGAAGGCAGAUAUCAAACAGGUGCUUACACUGCAUUGUGGUGGAGAUGACCAGGGAAGAUCUUCCCACCGCCGUGACAUUUAGCUGAGACCUUGCGUUCGAGGAGGGGUUAGCCCGGAGAAGGUGGUGACUGGGAAAGGUGCAAGAGGAUUUCAGAAGUCUGGGAGACAAGAGAGGAACCACUCGAGGAACCGAAAGAAGUCUGGAAAUUCAGGAGUUGGAAGAACUAUGCCCCAGGAAACAAUCAGAGAAAUCCAGGCGGGAGCACCGGCUACAGAACCAUGGCCUGCCCUCAGCAGCUGUCUGUGGAUGAACACUCCCCUUUCUUCCCCUGAUGGGUGCUCGUGAAACAAAUACCAAAUCAUCCUGUGCGACGGAACACUCAGUCACAGCAGCGGUGCCCGCUCUAUCAUGCAGCUUCGUCUGGGGGCUCCUUUCCUUCUGCUCUGGCCUCGCUCCCUCUACAGGCCCCCGAGGCACACUCUCCAGCAGAGCACGGACUUCAGCCUUCCUGCUCCCGGGGUUGGCGUUCUGGGGGACCUCCACUGAGGUCCAGAGGAAGUGAAGACUGCUCACGCUUCCAGGAACCCGCAAGGCCCUAUCCGUGGUUCUCCACCUUCUGGCCCUUUAAUACGGUUCCUCAUGUUGUGACCCAACCAUAAAAUUAUUUUCGUUGCUACUUCAUAACUGUCAUGUUGCUACUGUUAUGAACCGUAAUGUAAAUAUCUGAUAUGCAGGAUGGUCUUAGGUGACCCCUGUGAAAGGGUCGUUCGACCGACAGAGGGGUCGCGACCCACAGGUUGAGAACCCCUGCCCUAGGUUCUCUAGUCUCUUCUAGACAACAAAGACUUUCUUUUUAGGACAAAGAUGACACAGCUGUGCUGUGCUUCCUAUGAUUAUAGGGUGGGAAUGAAAACCAGGUAAAUUUGAUGUAGGGAGAGGAGAAAAGGACGGUAAGGCUGUGAAUAAUUAGCAAUGUCUGUUCUGGGUAGCAGACGGAGCUGUCAUCCACCCCCGCUUUUCACCCUGCAUGGAGAGAUGAAGGCGAUGAGGGUGAUGGGAGGUAAUUGCAUUCACUAAUCGGGGGAAGGGCCUUGUGUGCAGGUGACGUGGACAGAAUCGUGUGCAUGGGCCUGGGGCGUGCUGGAGGCGUUUCCCUCAAGUCCGCCUGGACCUUCUCGCCUGUGAUUCCCAUCCCUUUCUCUGCGGCCUCACGGGUCUCCAAACGCAUUCCUGCCUCACAUGCUGCCUUUUUGCUCUUUCAACCUGAAAAGCUUGUACUUUAUAUAACUUACGAAGUGAUCACCCCGAUAUAUCUAGCACCCAUCUGAUUACGAUAUUAUCGACUAUGUUCCCAUGCUUUUCUUUGUAAGUUACAGAAAUGUCUAAUUACGGGGUUGUACACUUGAAACUAAUAUAAUAUUAUAUGUCAACUGUAAUUUUAAAGAUAAAAUGUAUUAAACAGAGAAAAAAAACC